UGGGGAAGUAUUGCACAAUGGGCGGCAAGCCUGAUGCAGCCAUGCCGCGUGUAUGAAGAAGGCCUUCGGGUUGUAAAGAUACUUUCAGCGGGGAGGAAGGUGUUGAGGUUAAUAACCUCAGCAAUUGACGUUACCCGCAGAAGAAGCACCGGCUAACUCCGUGCCAGCAGCCGCGGUAAUACGGAGGGUGCAAGCGUUAAUCGGAAUUACUGGGCGUAAAGCGCACGCAGGCGGUCUGUCAAGUCGGAUGUGAAAUCCCCCGGGCUCAACCUGGGAACUGCAUUCGAAACUGGCAGGCUAGAGUCUUGUAGAGGGGU
Molecule: ribosomal RNA, 317 nt
Filed under: uncultured Enterobacteriaceae bacterium
Lineage: Bacteria; Pseudomonadati; Pseudomonadota; Gammaproteobacteria; Enterobacterales; Enterobacteriaceae
Description: bacterial SSU rRNA
Rfam family: Bacterial small subunit ribosomal RNA
Source: RNAcentral